This 430-nucleotide ribosomal RNA is filed under the name Fusobacteriota bacterium. Its description in RNAcentral is "Fusobacteria bacterium partial 16S ribosomal RNA". It matches the Rfam family "Bacterial small subunit ribosomal RNA", at positions 355 to 776 of the family's 1533-position model. Lineage: Bacteria; Fusobacteriati; Fusobacteriota. The record is from RNAcentral.
UAGGGAAUCUUCGGCAAUGGACGAAAGUCUGACCGAGCAACGCCGCGUGAGUGAAGAAGGUUUUCGGAUCGUAAAACUCUGUUGUUAGAGAAGAACAAGGAUGAGAGUAGAAUGUUCAUCCCUUGACGGUAUCUAACCAGAAAGCCACGGCUAACUACGUGCCAGCAGCCGCGGUAAUACGUAGGUGGCAAGCGUUGUCCGGAUUUAUUGGGCGUAAAGCGAGCGCAGGCGGUUUCUUAAGUCUGAUGUGAAAGCCCCCGGCUCAACCGGGGAGAGUCAUUGGAAACUGGGAAACUUGAGUGCAGAAGAGGAGAGUGGAAUUCCAUGUGUAGCGGUGAAAUGCGUAGAUAUAUGGAGGAACACCAGUGGCGAAGGCGGCUCUCUGGUCUGUAACUGACGCUGAGGCUCGAAAGCGUGGGGAGCAAACAGG